GGUUGGCUUAGUAGUAGAGCGCUGGCCUCGCAUGCCUGAGGCCCUAGGUUCGAUUCCUCAGCACCA
RNAcentral lists this transfer RNA (66 nucleotides) under Dipodomys ordii (Ord's kangaroo rat). It matches the Rfam family "tRNA". From Rfam's summary of the family: Transfer RNA (tRNA) molecules are approximately 80 nucleotides in length. Their secondary structure includes four short double-helical elements and three loops (D, anti-codon, and T loops). Lineage: Eukaryota; Metazoa; Chordata; Mammalia; Rodentia; Heteromyidae. The record is from Rfam by way of RNAcentral.